GUUUCUCGAGAUGCACUCCAACCCCUGUGACAUACCACUUGUUGCCUCGGCGGAUCAGCCCGCUCCCGGUAAAACGGGACGGCCCGCCAGAGGACCCCUAAACUCUGUUUCUAUAUGUAACUUCUGAGUAAAACCAUAAAUAAAUCAAAACUUUCAACAACGGAUCUCUUGGUUCUGGCAUCGAUGAAGAACGCAGCAAAAUGCGAUAAGUAAUGUGAAUUGCAGAAUUCAGUGAAUCAUCGAAUCUUUGAACGCACAUUGCGCCCGCCAGUAUUCUGGCGGGCAUGCCUGUUCGAGCGUCAUUUCAACCCUCAAGCACAGCUUGGUGUUGGGACUCGCGUUAAUUCGCGUUCCUCAAAUUGAUUGGCGGUCACGUCGAGCUUCCAUAGCGUAGUAGUAAAACCCUCGUUACUGGUAAUCGUCGCGGCCACGCCGUUAAACCCCAACUUCUGAAUGUUGACCUCGGAUCAGGUAGGAAUACCCGCUGAACUUAAGCAUAUCAAGCCGGGGGAAGAAAA
This 518-nucleotide ribosomal RNA is filed under the name Fusarium oxysporum. RNAcentral describes it as "eukaryotic LSU rRNA". The stretch from base 149 to 302 matches the Rfam family "5.8S ribosomal RNA". Lineage: Eukaryota; Fungi; Ascomycota; Sordariomycetes; Hypocreales; Nectriaceae. The record is from RNAcentral.